AUCAAUACAUCAAUUUCCAAUCGAAAACCAACACACCAGUUUUUAGUCUCAUGUUGGGACCCAUUUUUGACAUGGAAGAUGAUCGAAAUGGGAGAUGACUUCUGAAUAAAAAUUGUGGCCCUUUGAGUUAGCUAUCCAAUGCAACUUGAAUCACCUCAAUUGGACAUCGGGAAAGAAAGUUAUGAUUAAAAAACUGAAAGAUGUCUGGC
RNAcentral lists this long non-coding RNA (209 nucleotides) under Olea europaea (common olive). Its description in RNAcentral is "long non-coding RNA (OEUR_LNC012566)". The record is from RNAcentral. Lineage: Eukaryota; Viridiplantae; Streptophyta; Magnoliopsida; Lamiales; Oleaceae.